UACGUAGGGUGCAAGCGUUAAUCGGAAUUACUGGGCGUAAAGCGUGCGCAGGCGGUGAUGUAAGUCAGAUGUGAAAUCCCCGGGCUCAACCUGGGAACUGCAUUUGUGACUGCCUCGCUGGAGUGCGGCAGAGGGGGAUGGAAUUCCGCGUGUAGCAGUGAAAUGCGUAGAUAUGCGGAGGAACACCGAUGGCGAAGGCAAUCCCCUGGGCCUGCACUGACGCUCAUGCACGAAAGCGUGGGGAGCAAACAGG
This 253-nucleotide ribosomal RNA is filed under the name uncultured bacterium. RNAcentral describes it as "partial 16S ribosomal RNA". It matches the Rfam family "Bacterial small subunit ribosomal RNA", at positions 524 to 776 of the family's 1533-position model. The record is from RNAcentral.